RNAcentral lists this small nuclear RNA (18 nucleotides) under Arabidopsis thaliana (thale cress). Its description in RNAcentral is "snRNA_12908". The record is from RNAcentral. Lineage: Eukaryota; Viridiplantae; Streptophyta; Magnoliopsida; Brassicales; Brassicaceae.
AUGGAAGUCGAAAUCCGC